Molecule: ribosomal RNA, 490 nt
Filed under: uncultured bacterium
Lineage: Bacteria
Description: partial 16S ribosomal RNA
Rfam family: Bacterial small subunit ribosomal RNA
Source: RNAcentral
AGUGAACGCUGGCGGUAGGCCUAACACAUGCAAGUCGAACGGCAGCACAGGAGAGCUUGCUCUCUGGGUGGCGAGUGGCGGACGGGUGAGGAAUACAUCGGAAUCUGCCCAGUCGUGGGGGAUAACGUAGGGAAACUUACGCUAAUACCGCAUACGACCUUCGGGUGAAAGAGGGGGAUCGCAAGACCUCUCGCGAUUGGAUGAGCCGAUGUCGGAUUAGCUAGUUGGCGGGGUAAUGGCCCACCAAGGCGACGAUCCGUAGCUGGUCUGAGAGGAUGACCAGCCACACUGGAACUGAGACACGGUCCAGACUCCUACGGGAGGCAGCAGUGGGGAAUAUUGGACAAUGGGCGCAAGCCUGAUCCAGCCAUACCGCGUGGGUGAAGAAGGCCUUCGGGUUGUAAAGCCCUUUUGUUGGGAAAGAAAUCUUUCAGGCUAAUACCCUGGGAGGAUGACGGUACCCAAAGAAUAAGCACCGGCUAACUUCGUG